This 228-nucleotide small RNA is filed under the name Rattus norvegicus (Norway rat). Its description in RNAcentral is "uncharacterized LOC108350991". Lineage: Eukaryota; Metazoa; Chordata; Mammalia; Rodentia; Muridae. The record is from RNAcentral.
GUCAGUUGGCUAGCCACUGGGAUUCUUUUAAAGGUAGCUAGUAUGUAGAAGAACAAAGCCUGGGGCCCUGAGAUAAAUGGAAUGCCAUUUUUAUGCAUGGCAUCCAUUUUGAUUUCGCAGCUGUCCUUUUGAUGCUGAUUCUAGUAAUUCUGAAAAGCUUCAUUAAUAAGGGCACUUCAGGUCUUUUUGUGACUGAUGACUGAAGACCGAGAGAGGAGGAGGUUGGAG